AGCAGCCGCGGUAAUUCCAGCUCCAAUAGCGUAUAUUAAAGUUGUUGCAGUUAAAAAGCUCGUAGUUGAACUUCGGGGUUCACCCAUUGGUCAGGCUUAAUUGUCUGCACUGGUGAGAUGAGUCUCUACCUUCUGAGGAACCUUCAUGUCAUUAAUUUGGUGUGAUGGGAAAUCAGGACUGUUACUUUGAAAAAUUAGAGUGUUUAAAGCAGGCUAACGUCUGAAUACAUUAGCAUGGAAUAAUGAAAUAGGACGGACUGAUUCUAUUUCGUUGGUUUCUAGGAUCACCGUAAUGAUUAAUAGGGAUAGUUGGGGGCAUUAGUAUUCAAUUGUCAGAGGUGAAAUUCUUGGAUUUAUUGAAGACUAACUACUGCGAAAGCAUUUGCCAAGGAUGUUUUCAUUAAUCAAGAACGAAAGUUAGGGGAUCGAAGACGAUCAGAUACCGUCGUAGUCUUAACCAUAAACUAUGCCGACUGG
Molecule: small RNA, 477 nt
Filed under: uncultured Diversispora
Lineage: Eukaryota; Fungi; Glomeromycota; Glomeromycetes; Diversisporales; Diversisporaceae
Description: SSU rRNA
Rfam family: Eukaryotic small subunit ribosomal RNA
Source: RNAcentral